RNAcentral lists this small nuclear RNA (20 nucleotides) under Arabidopsis thaliana (thale cress). RNAcentral's name for it is "snRNA_16843". Lineage: Eukaryota; Viridiplantae; Streptophyta; Magnoliopsida; Brassicales; Brassicaceae. The record is from RNAcentral.
UCGUCGACGAGAAUCGGUCG